GACGAACGCUGGCGGCGUGCUUAACACAUGCAAGUCGAACGGAAAGGCCCUGCUUUUGUGGGGUGCUCGAGUGGCGAACGGGUGAGUAACACGUGAGUAACCUGCCCUUGACUUUGGGAUAACUUCAGGAAACUGGGGCUAAUACCGGCUAGGAGCUCCUGCUGCAUGGUGGGGGUUGGAAAGUUUCGGCGGUUGGGGAUGGACUCGCGGCUUAUCAGCUUGUUGGUGGGGUAGUGGCUUACCAAGGCUUUGACGGGUAGCCGGCCUGAGAGGGUGACCGGCCACAUUGGGACUGAGAUACGGCCCAGACUCGUACGGGAGGCAGAGGUGGGGAAUAUUGCACAAUGGGCGGAAGCCAGAUGCAGCAACGCCGCGUGCGGGAUGACGGCCUUCGGGUUGUAAACCGCUUUCGCCUGUGACGAAGCGUGAGUGACGGUAAUGGGUAAAGAAGCACCGGCUAACUACGUG
Molecule: ribosomal RNA, 468 nt
Filed under: uncultured bacterium
Lineage: Bacteria
Description: partial 16S ribosomal RNA
Rfam family: Bacterial small subunit ribosomal RNA
Source: RNAcentral